UGAUUAUUCACUGAUCUCUGACCCGACUGCUCGCUCUCUAAUGAGUGAUAAAUACAACAUGAUGCAUUUCUUUACAACAACAACAACAACAAUAACAACAACAACAACGACGAGUGAUAAAUACAACAUGACACGUUUCUUUCCUACACCAACGCAGCCGUCCAUCACUACUGAGAAAUCCACUGCAUAUGUUCCUCAGCCCCGGCUGUCCGUGACUCCUGAAGUUCUCACAGAGAGAGGAUCAGUGCAGAUUCACUGUCACGUUCCAGACAAUGUUAAAGUGCGUCAGUGUUAUUUCUACCCAGAGAGAGACAACACAAAUCUAAAACUCUCUCCAUCAUGUCAGCUCUCAGUCACUGGUUCUGAACUGAUCUGGUGGACAGGACGAAGUUCUCCUGGAACACUUCAUAUUACUUGUUUCUACGCUUUGGAUAACUCUGUUCGUACUCCUUCUCCUCACUCUCUCCCAGCUCCAGUCACAGUGCUGAAUCAGAAACCGAGACUAAGCGUCAGUCAUGAUGAUUUCUUUACUACAACAACAACAACAACAAUAGCAACAACAACAACAACAAUAGCAACAAUAACAACAACAACAACGACGAGUGAUAAAUACAACAUGACACGUUUCUUUCCUACACCAACACAGCCGUCCAUCACUAUUGAGAAAUCCACUGCAUAUUCCUCUUCUGAAUCAACACAGCAGUCCGUCACUACACAGAAAUCCACUGCAGG
Ictalurus punctatus (channel catfish) is the source of this 732-nucleotide long non-coding RNA. The record is from Ensembl. NCBI's taxonomy places the organism in Eukaryota, Metazoa, Chordata, Actinopteri, Siluriformes, Ictaluridae.